AAACAGGAUUAAGAGGAAGAGAAAACACAGAAAUAAUGGGAGAAAGGAGAAAAAUACAGAUAGAAAUAGAAGAGAAAUACAGGAAGGAGAAAGAGGCAGAGAAACACAGGUGAGGAGGAAAAGAAACAGGAAUAGGAAGAAGAGAAAACACAGGACUAAAAGGAGAAAGGAGAGAAACACAGAUGAAAUAGAAGGAGAGAAAUACAGAAGGGAGGAGAAAUAAGCAGAGAAACACAGAUGGAGGAGGAGGAAGAGGAGGAGGAGGAGGAGGAAGAGGAGGAGGAAGAAGAGGAGGAAGAGGAGAAGGAAAGGGUUGCCAGGGAGGAGUAUCGGCGGCCAGGCUGUGUGUAUCUCCUCUGGUUAGGUUGUUUUAAGCCGGCUCAGUCCUUUCCCCCUUUUUCCUUGCCUUCCCCGUUGUUUUAGGAGCAAGGAGGGAUUUGCAACCGUGGCAGGACGCGGCGAGGCUGUUUAAUAGGGAGCGCUGGAUGUGGUAAUGAAAGGAUUUUGAGUUUGGCGUAUAGGGAAAGAGGUAGGAAGGGAGGGAGGGAGAGAGGAAGGUAGGUUGUCAGGAAAAGGAAGAGGAAUAGAGGAAUGUAGUUAGGUAGGUAAUGGGAAAGGGAGAGAGGAAGGUUGGUAUAGGUAAGUUUGUAGGUAUGGAGGGAGAAAGGGAAGUGGGUAAGGAGGGAGAGAGGAAGGAAGGAAGGGAGGGAAGGAAGGAGGUAGAUGUGUUAGCAGACAAAGGGAAGACAAUUAGAACAGAAGAAGAGGAAGCAAUAGAUGAUAACAAAGUAGAACCCAAAAAACAACAACGAAAAGAAAGAAGAAAAAGAAGGAAAAGAAACAAGAAGAGGAACAAGAACAAAAACAAGAGAAGGGAAAAGUAAAAAUUAUAACGAAAUGGAAGCCAAAAAACGAAAACAAAGGAGAAAAAGAAGAGAUUGAAACCAAGAACAGGAACAAGAACCAGAAUUGCAGUAAGAGAAAGAAAAAGAUAUUCCCUCCAUCAAUACGACACAGGCGGGGUUCAAAUUCUCCUACGCCACACGAAUCGACAUAACCAGACGUGUGUUUCAGCGUGGACCUGCCCGGGCGUCACACGUGGAGUUCAGACUAUCCUACGCUUCACGAGUUAUUAAGAGACAUUUCGCCGCCUAAGAACACAUAUUUGACAAGGCUUUCGUAGGAGUUGUGGGCAUUUCCAGGGGUAGUUUUAUGACCCUGGUGGUAGUUUGACCCUUCUUCUGUACCAUGAGCCUAAGAAACACAUAUUUGACAAGGCUUUCGUAGGAGUUGUGGGCAUUUCCAGGGGUAGUUUUAUGACCCUGGUGGUAGUUUGACCCUUCUUCUGUACCAUGAGCCUAAAAAAACACUCAUUAUAACCUGAUCGAUCCCCUCUUUAACCUUUAGAAAUUGUUAAUGUGAGAAGCGAAAGUGUCUUUUAAUACCAACCUAACCUAACCUAUUAUUAUCCAGCCGGGCGUUUCAGCGUGGACUUGCCCGGUUGACACACGUGGGGUUCAAAUUUCCCCCCCACACGAGUAGACAUAACCACCCGGGCGUUUCAGCGUGGACCUCCCCGGGCGCACGUUAGCUCGCAAUGGUCCGCCUCUCAGUGACGGAUGCGAGUCAGUGGCCGCGGAAAUCGCCGUAGAGUGAGCCGGCUUGCGUUGUAAAGAGGAUUAGCAGCUGAAUGAAGAGAGGGCGAGGAGAGGAGACGAGAGGAAAGGGCCGAGUUUAGAGGAGAAUGAGGGGAUGUUUGAAUAUUGAUGGUGAUGGUGAUGGUGAUAGUGGUGGUGAUGGUGGUAGUAGUGGCAGUAGUAGUAGUAGUAGUAGUAGUAGUAGUAGUAGUAGUAAGUUGAAUGAAAAGAAGAAAAAUAAGGGUAGAAGAAGAAGAAGAAGAAGAAGAAGAAGAAGAAGAAGAAGAAGAAGAAGGAGGAGGAGGAGAAACGAAAAAGAAAGAAGGAUAAAAGGAAGAAACUAAAUAAUUAAGAAGAAAAUAGAAGAAACA
This is a long non-coding RNA of Eriocheir sinensis (Chinese mitten crab), 2008 nucleotides long. RefSeq lists it as uncharacterized. The record is from RefSeq and is a predicted model, not a curated record. The transcript is spliced from 2 exons. NCBI's taxonomy places the organism in Eukaryota, Metazoa, Arthropoda, Malacostraca, Decapoda, Varunidae.